Molecule: ribosomal RNA, 712 nt
Filed under: uncultured Bacteroidales bacterium
Lineage: Bacteria; Pseudomonadati; Bacteroidota; Bacteroidia; Bacteroidales
Description: bacterial SSU rRNA
Rfam family: Bacterial small subunit ribosomal RNA
Source: RNAcentral
CAUGGUCUUAGCUUGCUAAGGCUGAUGGCGACCGGCGCACGGGUGAGUAACACGUAUCCAACCUGCCGUCUACUCUUGGCCAGCCUUCUGAAAGGAAGAUUAAUCCAGGAUGGCAUCAUGAGUUCACAUGUCCGCAUGAUUAAAGGUAUUUUCCGGUAGACGAUGGGGAUGCGUUCCAUUAGAUAGUAGGCGGGGUAACGGCCCACCUAGUCAACGAUGGAUAGGGGUUCUGAGAGGAAGGUCCCCCACAUUGGAACUGAGACACGGUCCAAACUCCUACGGGAGGCAGCAGUGAGGAAUAUUGGUCAAUGGGCGAUGGCCUGAACCAGCCAAGUAGCGUGAAGGAUGACUGCCCUAUGGGUUGUAAACUUCUUUUAUAAAGGAAUAAAGUCGGGUAUGCAUACCCGUUUGCAUGUACUUUAUGAAUAAGGAUCGGCUAACUCCGUGCCAGCAGCCGCGGUAAUACGGAGGAUCCGAGCGUUAUCCGGAUUUAUUGGGUUUAAAGGGAGCGUAGAUGGAUGUUUAAGUCAGUUGUGAAAGUUUGCGGCUCAACCGUAAAAUUGCAGUUGAUACUGGAUGUCUUGAGUGCAGUUGAGGCAGGCGGAAUUCGUGGUGUAGCGGUGAAAUGCUUAGAUAUCACGAAGAACUCCGAUUGCGAAGGCAGCCUGCUAAGCUGCAACUGACAUUGAGGCUCGAAAGUGUGGGUAUCAAA